AUACUGGCAAACUAGAGUAUGGCACAGGAAUGGGGAAUUUCUGGUGUAGCGGUGAAAUGCGUAGAGAUCAGAAGGAACACCAAUGGCGAAGGCAACAUUCUGGACCAAUACUGACACUGAGGGACGAAAGCGUGGGGAUCAAACAGGAUUAGAUACCCUGGUAGUCCACGCUGUAAACGAUGAGUACUAGCUGUUGGAUUCGGUGUAAAGGAUCUAGUGGCGUAGCUAACGCGUUAAGUACUCCGCCUGGGGACUACGGCCGCAAGGCUAAAACUCAAAGGAAUUGACGGGGACCCGCACAAGCGGUGGAGCAUGUGGUUUAAUUCGAUGCAACGCGAAGAACCUUACCUGGUCUUGACAUCCUGCGAACUUUCUAGAGAUAGAUUGGUGCCUUCGGGAACGCAGUGACAGGUGCUGCACGGCUGUCGUCAGCUCGUGUUGUGAAAUGUUGGGUUAAGUCCCGCAACGAGCGCAACCCCUAUUGAUAGUUACCAUCAUUAAGUUGGGUACUCUAUUGAGACUGCCGCUGACAAGGCGGAGGAAGGUGGGGACGACGUCAAGUCAUCAUGGCCCUUACGACCAGGGCUACACACGUGCUACAAUGGGUAUUACAGAGGGCAGCGAAGUAGCGAUAUGGAGCGAAACUCAGAAAGGUACUCUUAGUCCGGAUUGCAGUCUGCAACUCGACUGCAUGAAGUCGGAAUCGCUAGUAAUCGCAGGUCAAAAUACUGCGGUGAAUACGUUCCCGGGUCUUG
This 755-nucleotide ribosomal RNA is filed under the name uncultured bacterium. RNAcentral's name for it is "bacterial SSU rRNA". It matches the Rfam family "Bacterial small subunit ribosomal RNA", at positions 630 to 1383 of the family's 1533-position model. The record is from RNAcentral.